GAGAGAUCGGAUUCGGAAUCGGGAUGAGGGAAAUUAUCAGCCUUCACAUUGGUCAAGCUGGAAUUCAGGUCGGCAAUUCUUGCUGGGAGCUUUAUUGCCUCGAACAUGGCAUUCAGCCGGAUGGUUUGAUGCCCAGUGACUCGUCGGUUGGUGUUGCACAUGAUGCUUUCAACACGUUUUUCAGCGAAACUGGUUCAGGCAAGCAUGUUCCUAGAGCAAUAUUUGUGGAUCUGGAACCAACUGUUAUCGAUGAAGUAAGGACUGGGACAUACCGACAGCUUUUCCAUCCGGAACAGCUCAUAUCUGGUAAAGAAGAUGCUGCAAAUAAUUUUGCU
This 335-nucleotide unclassified non-coding RNA is filed under the name Hevea brasiliensis (rubber tree). Lineage: Eukaryota; Viridiplantae; Streptophyta; Magnoliopsida; Malpighiales; Euphorbiaceae. The record is from RNAcentral.